ACUGGGCGUGGUGGUGCAUGCCUGUAAUCCCAGCAGCUCAGGAGGCUGAGGCAGGAGGAUUGCAAGUUCAAAGCCAGCCUCAGCAAUUUAGUGAGGUCCUAAGCAACUUAGCAAGACCCCUGUCUCAA
RNAcentral lists this small RNA (128 nucleotides) under Marmota monax (woodchuck). Lineage: Eukaryota; Metazoa; Chordata; Mammalia; Rodentia; Sciuridae. The record is from RNAcentral.